GUUACUAUAGUUGAAGUACAACAGUGGUUUUUCAGGCCUCAGGUUCUGGUUGAAGUACAGAUGGUAAUG
Molecule: non-coding RNA, 69 nt
Organism: Heteronotia binoei (common prickly gecko)
Lineage: Eukaryota; Metazoa; Chordata; Lepidosauria; Squamata; Gekkonidae
Source: the annotation of a RefSeq genome assembly